AUAUAUAUAUAGUUCAGUGUUUCAUUCUGUUUCGUUCAGGGUCGGUUGUUCCAACUUCUUGGUGGUUGAAGAAUGGUCGCGAAAUUACACUAGGCUGGAGCGUCGCGACGUCAGUCACACGCACUGGAUCAUUGUGUUUUCCUUCUGCAGAGACACUACCUUCGUCGUGCAGAGUCUAACGGCCAGGAAUACCUCUUCCGGGUAAUGGCGGCCAACGACAACGGCAUAGAUCCGUCGUUCGAGGGUGCCAAUCUGAUCAGGACAAAGGCGCCGUUCGAUCCGCCAGGACCGCCGGGCACGCCCAAAGUCACCGAGGUUGGCGGCGACUUUGUUAAUCUCUCGUGAGAGAAACCGGAAAUAAACGGCGGCGUCAAAAUCUUGGGUUACUGGAUCGACAAACGUGAGGUCGGCAGUCAGGCCUGGCAGCGCGUAAACGCUAGUAUCUGCCGACGCAGAUCAAUAUCAGCAAUCUGAUCGAGGGCAGGCAGUACGAGUUCCGAGUGUUCACGCAGAACUCAGCUGGGCUCGGUCCGGAAUUGAAGGCCUCGACUUCCGUGAAGAUCGUUGAUCCGCAGGCGGCGAAGCCUCCGGAGAUCAUUCAACCUCUCAACAAGGUGAAUUGCGUCCAGAAUCACAAUGCACACUUCCAGUGCAAGAUCAUCGGCACGCCGAGACCAACCAUCACGUGGUUCAAAGGCGCCCGUGAAAUCGUGAGCGGCAGUCGCUACAACAUUUAUUCCGAGGGCGACACUCACAAUCUUAUCAUCCACGACGUGUUCGGCGAAAACGCUGACGAGUACUUCUGCCGCGCGGUGAACAAGUGUGGCGUGAAGUCCACGAAGGGCGAACUCUUCAUCAAGACGCUACUAAAACUGAACGUGCCGCCACAAUUCCGUGACACCGCCUUCUUCGACAAGAGCGCGAACGUUGUCCGUAAAAGAGAGGUUUGUGGCAGAAGUUAUCAAUAAAUUUUUUCAUAAUUGUUAUACAAAUAUGAUUCAAAUACAAAAGCACAACCGAAUCAACAUGAAUAAUUCACUUUUGUUUCCUGUAAAUAAUUUUUGUAUUUUGUCAAUAGUAAAAUUAAUUACAUUUUUUCGAGACGAGACGGUACUUCCGUGCUCACCAGAAAGCAAAAAAAAAUCUAAACAAAUCUUACCUUUGUAAAUCUGCUACGAAAAAUUCACACGGGCACACGACACGAUCGCUUUCUUUUCUUUUCGCGGCAACCAAGAUCUAUAGAGAGAAGGUUACCUCAGUAAAACCGGUUGAA
Molecule: long non-coding RNA, 1273 nt
Organism: Linepithema humile (Argentine ant)
Lineage: Eukaryota; Metazoa; Arthropoda; Insecta; Hymenoptera; Formicidae
Source: RefSeq, a predicted model, not a curated record